Molecule: unclassified non-coding RNA, 2249 nt
Filed under: Zea mays
Lineage: Eukaryota; Viridiplantae; Streptophyta; Magnoliopsida; Poales; Poaceae
Description: misc RNA Zm00001eb425010
Source: RNAcentral
CAAGACCUUCUUCCUCCCCCAGUCAGCACAGGCGGCGGCGCCAAAACUCCCACGGCGGCGACCGAUGAGCCCCACCAGACCAGCCUCCUGGAGCGCGAUACUUUAUCCCAGAAGUCUCUACCCGAAAAAGAGGCUAUGGUGAACUUGAGAUCACUGGUCUUACCGUACAUGGCGGGGCAGUGGAGCUGCCCACGGCGUGGAGCUACCGGCGGCGACAGUCUCACGACGAUGAGCAUCUCAGGGCACACCCAGAUGGGAGACGUGUUGAUUCUAAGCCUGCAGUGUGGGAACCUGUCUGUGACGAUAUGCGUCCGUGUUUCUCGGUUUUGGGACUUUUCUGAUCCUCAGGAUGCUGCAAGGCUGCUACACUGUGAUAUGGUGUUGCUCGAUGAAGAGGGAAAUAGCAUACAUGCUACGAUAUACCCACCCUUCAUAGAGAAAUUCAGGCCACUCAUAAAAGAAGGCAGCGUGUACAACAUGACAUACUUUCGAGUUCGAGCGUCGAACAACUUGUAUAAGCCAGUUCCAAAUGAUAUCAUGAUUACCUUCACGAAUUGGACAAAGUUAGAGCAGGUUAUUGAGAUUCCUCCUGCAUUUCCUACACUUACCUACUCCCUCACUCACAUAGAGCAGAUCCAUUCACGCAUCGACCAUAAAGACUACUAUACAGAUGCCAUUGGGAUAGUUAAUUCAGUCUCGGAUGUUUCGCCACAUCGCUCCAAAGGACAACAAGCUUCUAGCUUGAAGAGGAACAUUUCCAUAUGCAGUGCAAGAGGUGCUUCGGUCAAUGUCGUGUUGUGGGGUGCCCAAGCCACCCUAUUCCCAGGAGAGCGCAUAUACGAAGAUGGGCAGAAUUCCCCACAGAUUGUGCUAUUUGUUGGCACACUCGUCAAAAAAUAUGCAGAUGUGCUUUGUCUGACUGGAAGCUCACCAUGUAAGUGGUACAUCAAUCCAUCCAUUCCUGAGGUAGAAACCCUUACGUCCAGCGCACGCGGUGAUCAUAAACCAGUGAAGUGGAAUGCAACUGUUACUUCGAGCCAGCUUAUAUCUCCUGUUGCUGAGGAGCAAAAGGUGUCGUACAUCAAGUAUCUCCAUCCCUUUGAAAACAAGGGAAAGGAAUUCUUGGUUACAGUCACUAUAAGGAAAAUUGACAGCAAGUGGUGGUAUAACUCGUGCCGAAAAUGCGCCUGCACAGCUGUCACUCACGGAGACUCUUACAAAUGCACAAACCAUGAUUGUGCUAACAUUGUUAUGCCCGUCCAAAGGUAUAAAAUACUUGUCACUGCAGGAGACGAGACAGCUGAUACAGACUUCAUUCUCUUUGGGCACAUGGCUCAAAGAAUUGUCAAAAGGCCUUGCGAUAUGCUCAUAGCGAACACUCCAUCAGGCUUUAUUCCAGACGCAAUCACAAAGCUGCUUGAAAGGACGUUCAUUUGGAACGUUAGCUUCUCUGGGCACACAAUUAACUCUGGAAACGUCUGCUUCCAGGUCAAUGCUACUGUAAAGGAACUAGGCAAUCAAAAUGUUGACAUUUCAACAUCAACCAUAGGGACACACCAGUCUUCGCUUAUGUUCUCACAAGGUGCAAGCAGCAGCAUGGAAGACACUCCUCACAAGACAGACACCUUGCCUUCACCUCUGACACCUUUGACGCCCCAGGGUAGCGUCGCCACUACAAAGUAUUUGGAAACCGUUGACGCUGGAGAUGCUGAGCGUGUGACUACUCAGUCCUCGACAACUAGGAAGAGAUCAUGCUCUUUGCCUGGCAAAUCAAUAGCAAAAAAACUAUUCAUUGCUGACGAUGAGGAAGGAAGCAUCAGUCAGUCCAGUGGAGGUGGUGUUGGUGGAUCCAGUGAUGACAAAGAUAAUUAGGUGCUGGUGUAGGAAUGUGGAACUUUUGCCUUCACAGUUGCAGCCAUGUGUAAUUCAGGGUUAUCAUCUAUUUCUACUUUUCUCAAGUUAUUGUAUAUGUUAGUUGGAUGGGGGAGAUGUGGUACAUACUUUUGUCCGCAACAUCGCUAACGGUUUGCCUACACAAAUCUACCAAGGUUAACUUUGAUCAGGAUGCUACGUCUAUCACACUUUUGAUAUGCUGACGGCCAACGUGAAUCCAUCUCACUUACAAUCGUGCUUGUUACCUUUCCUCCCCUGAUGUUCAUCCUCAGUGACUUGUACUAUGUAGUGGCAGAAGAAAAACCUACUCUUUUGUAUAUAUCAACUGCUUGUUGUUAAACCUUUUGCUACAUUGC